Small nucleolar RNA from Pelusios castaneus (West African mud turtle), 65 nucleotides. Its record names the gene SNORD42. It matches the Rfam family "Small nucleolar RNA SNORD42". From Rfam's summary of the family: snoRNA U42 is found in intron 3 of the ribosomal protein L23a (RPL23a) gene in humans and is also present in mice. U42 is a member of the C/D class of snoRNA which contain C (UGAUGA) and D (CUGA) box motifs. The record is from Ensembl. NCBI's taxonomy places the organism in Eukaryota, Metazoa, Chordata, Testudines, Pelomedusidae.
GUGCAAGUGAUGGAAAAUUACUUCAACUGACUACAGUGAUGUUCUCAAAGGAACCACUGCUGCAC